AUAAGAAGAAAGGAGGAGAGGCCUUCGCCCCCUCUUUCGUUCCGGUGGCUUGGGGGUGUGGGUUUUCCCUGCUGUUGAGUCUGUCGCGUUUGGGGAGUGAGGCCUGGUAAGGCCUUGUCGACCUUGGGAGACGGAGGUUGCCGGCGAUCGUUCCAUCGUGACAUUCUGUUGUCCCGAGGAGAGUAGCUACUGAGGAGGGAAAAAAAAAAGGUAGUUCAGCAGGAAGUUGCAGAGGCUAAAGAAAUGAAGACUCUGAAAUCGAUCCUGCUCCUGUCCUACAAAGCACAAUUUCUGCCAGAAGCAUCAAGCAGAGCAGGACCGUCCCCUUGACUUGGAGCUGUUUUCUUAUAAGGCAUCUGAGAUUUUAUAUGAACUAGAUUUGGAGAUUGAGAACUACAGAUCUGUAUUUUCAUCUCGGAAAAGUUCUACUUGAAAAGAUUCCUCCCUGCUAGACUGCAUGAUGGUUUACUAACAGACCUGCUUGGAUAAGGAUACACAGGAAUUCACUUCAGAAGCUGCAGGAGGUUUUACCACCAUUUUUAUUGCUCUUGCUUGCUCUGAUCCAAAGCUGACAAAAACCCAUUAAGAGAUUGAAACAAAGUGUGUGGAACCAGCAUGAGCAAGAAAUGUCCUAAUUGAGUACUGGACCUGGCAUCCAGGCAACCUUUGCAACAGACUACCAGUCUCCUCUCAAAGAAUACCUUCUCUGCACUUCCAGAAGGCAGUUCUGCUCUGGAUCAGAUGAGGGACAAAAAUCUCAUUAUUUCAUUCCCUGGAUUUAAACUCCUGUGAAUUGACCAUCAGUAGUGUAGUGCAAACAAACUUUCCCAGAGAUCUAACCCCUCGGUAUAGUACUACAGCGAUAAGUAUUAAAAUGAGGAGACAAAAAUCCUGAAACAUUGGUUUUUUUUGAGAUUUAUGUGCAGUGUAAAGUCAUGCAACAGAAUACAAUAAA
Molecule: long non-coding RNA, 955 nt
Organism: Pipra filicauda (Wire-tailed manakin)
Lineage: Eukaryota; Metazoa; Chordata; Aves; Passeriformes; Pipridae
Exons: 3
Source: RefSeq, a predicted model, not a curated record